Molecule: ribosomal RNA, 497 nt
Filed under: uncultured bacterium
Lineage: Bacteria
Description: partial 16S ribosomal RNA
Rfam family: Bacterial small subunit ribosomal RNA
Source: RNAcentral
GACGAACGCUGGCGGCGUGCCUAAUACAUGCAAGUUGAGCGCUGAAGGUUGGUACUUGUACCAACUGGAUGAGCAGCGAACGGGUGAGUAACGCGUGAGGAAUCUGCCUUUGAGCGGGGGACAACAUUUGGAAACGAAUGCUAAUACCGCAUAAAAACUUUAAACACAAGUUUUAAGUUUGAAAGAUGCAAUUGCAUCACUCAAAGAUGAUCCCGCGUUGUAUUAGCUAGUUGGUGAGGUAAAGGCUCACCAAGGCGAUGAUACAUAGCCGACCUGAGAGGGUGGUCGGCCACAUUGGGAGUGAGACACGGCCCAAACGCAUACGGGAGGCAGCAGUAGGGAAUCGUCAGCAAUGAGCGAAAGUCUGACCGAGCAGCGCCGCGUGAGUGAAGAAGGUUUUCGGAUCGUAAAACUCUGUUGGUAGGGAAGAACGUGGGUGAGAGUGGAAAGCACAUCAAGUGACGGUAACUACCCAGAAAGGGACGGCUAACUACGUG